This 253-nucleotide ribosomal RNA is filed under the name uncultured bacterium. Its description in RNAcentral is "partial 16S ribosomal RNA". It matches the Rfam family "Bacterial small subunit ribosomal RNA", at positions 524 to 776 of the family's 1533-position model. The record is from RNAcentral.
UACGUAGGGGGCGAGCGUCAUCCGGAUUCACUGGGCGUAAAGGGAGCGCAGGCGGCACGGCAAGUCCGGUGUGGAAGCCCGGGGCCCAAGCCCGGGACUGCACUGGAAACUGCCGGGCUGGAGUGUCGGAGGGGCAGGCGGAAUUCCUAGUGUAGCGGUGAAAUGCGUAGAUAUUAGGAGGAACACCGGUGGCGAAGGCGGCCUGCUGGACGACGACUGACGCUGAGGCUCGAAAGCGUGGGGAGCAAACAGG